CCUACGGGAGGCAGCAGUGGGGAAUUUUGCACAAUGGGGGAAACCCUGAUGCAGCGACGCCGCGUGAGUGAAGAAGUAUCUCGGUACGUAAAGUUCUAUCAGCAGGGCAGAAAAUGACGGUACCUGACUAAGAAGCCCCGGCUAACUACGUGCCAGCAGCCGCGGUAAUACGUAGGGGGCAAGCGUUAUCCGGAUUUAUUGGGUGUAAAGGGAGCGUAGACGGCAGGACAAGUCUGGAGUGAAAGCCCCGGGCUUAACCCCGGUACUGCUUUGGAUACUGUGCGGCUGGAGUGCAGGAGAGGUAAGCGGAAUUCCUGGUGUAGCGGUGAAAUGCGUAGAUAUUAGGAGGAACACCGGUGGCGUAGGCGGUUUACUGGACUGUAACUGACGUUGAGGCUCGAAAGCGUGGGGAGCAAAUAGGAUUAGAUACCCGAGUAGUC
RNAcentral lists this ribosomal RNA (440 nucleotides) under uncultured bacterium. RNAcentral describes it as "partial 16S ribosomal RNA". It matches the Rfam family "Bacterial small subunit ribosomal RNA", at positions 338 to 795 of the family's 1533-position model. The record is from RNAcentral.